RNAcentral lists this non-coding RNA (22 nucleotides) under Gossypium hirsutum (cotton). Lineage: Eukaryota; Viridiplantae; Streptophyta; Magnoliopsida; Malvales; Malvaceae. The record is from RNAcentral.
UGCCCUUCAAUAUCACAAGUGC